AACGAACGUUAGCGGCGCGCCUAACACAUGCAAGUCGCACGAGAAAGGGCUUCGGCCUCGGUAAAGUGGCGCACGGGUGAGUAACACGUGGGUAAUCUGCCCUCGAGCGGGGGAUAACAUUCCGAAAGGAGUGCUAAUACCGCAUAAGACCACGACCUCGAAAGAGGAUGCGGUACAAAGCUGGCCUCUAUACAUAAGCUAGCACUUGAGGAUGACGCCCGCGGCGCAUCAGGUAGUUGGUGAGGUAACGGCUCACCAAGCCAAAGACGCGUAGCUGGUCUGAGAGAUGAUCAGCCACACUGGAACUGAGACACGGUCCAGACUCCUACGGGAGGCAGCAGUGGGGAAUCUUGCGCAA
This 358-nucleotide ribosomal RNA is filed under the name uncultured bacterium. RNAcentral's name for it is "bacterial SSU rRNA". It matches the Rfam family "Bacterial small subunit ribosomal RNA", at positions 29 to 371 of the family's 1533-position model. The record is from RNAcentral.